RNAcentral lists this transfer-messenger RNA (358 nucleotides) under bacterium. It matches the Rfam family "transfer-messenger RNA". Rfam says of the family: Bacterial tmRNA, also known as 10Sa RNA or SsrA, is named for its dual tRNA and mRNA-like properties. Its role is to liberate the mRNA from a stalled ribosome. The record is from RNAcentral.
GGGGGUGAACAGGAUUCGACGUUGGUAGCCGAAGUGUCGGAAGCGAGCCGAGGUCACCGGAGGCCUCGUUAAAUAGCCGGUACAAACCUAUAAGUGCCAAUCACCAAUUUGCACUGGCUGCCUAAACAAAGGUAGCCCGUCCCCCGGAGCGGUUCCUGCCCUCUCCGGAGUGGGCGUCGUUCAGCAGGAUGGACUUCUCGGGAUACCCGGACCGGAAAGUCGAGAUCAACUCGGGAGUAGGGCGGACGGUCACUGGCCGAUGGAGUCCGACCGCCCGAAAUCUAACCAUCGGCUGCGCUCGGAGAGGCCGCCUCUGAAGUACCAACGGACCGGGGUUCGAUUCCCCGCACCUCCACCC